GUCCUAAUAGUAAAAUAAUUGAAGUCAUAAUGAUCAUGCUACACCUAUUUUUUGAAUUAAGAGAGCGGGUAGGAAUGGACCAAAUUAAUUAUAAUUCAGUUGUAUAUAUAUUAGUAAGAUUAUUGCUGGUCAAAUCGGGGCUCCUUUUAUUAAUAGACCGCGAAUAAAGAAACGAAGGGGCAAAAACAGUGCGAAAAACCGAAGAGUUAGAGGUAAGAAGAGUAAAAGUUCUCCCUGCGUUGCUUGAGGGUUUUUCCUACAUCUUCUUAGUGCUGUUACCGGUGGUUGGUUCACUGCGAGCAGCUUCAGCGAGGAUUGGGCCAUCCACUCUCCCCUGGCAAGGCGCUACUGACGUGGGACUGUCCUAUUCAUGCUGGUGUCAAGAUCGCAACUAUAGGAUUUGGUGGGAGUAAGUUCAAAGGUUUAGUCAAUAUGUUUCCUCGUGUUUUCACUACCUUACGUAUCACUAGGCAUGGAGAGCAUGGAAUCGGAUGCUAACAGGUUGCGACAGGCGCUGAAUCUGCAAGGAGGGGAGGUUGAAGAACUACUGAUCCCCGAUGGUCUAUGGAGUUCGAAAUUUGAGGGGUUUCGCCUCUGCUUCGUGGGGCAUUUACUAUCUAGGAGGAUGUUUAACUUUGAGAACUUGUGCGCGUCACUUUGGAGUACGAUUAUGUCGGUUAAAGGGAUGGACAUUAAGCGACUUCCUACAGACCGCCUCCUCUUCUGUUUUAAUCACAUGAUUUAGAAAAUAGAGCGCUCGAAGGUUGCCUGUGGAGCUUUGAAAAGAAUGUGUUGGUCCUGAGUGGCAUUGGUGAGAAUGGAAACCUAUGCAUGUAGAUGUUA
Non-coding RNA from Sesamum indicum (sesame), 843 nucleotides. The record is from RefSeq and is a predicted model, not a curated record. NCBI's taxonomy places the organism in Eukaryota, Viridiplantae, Streptophyta, Magnoliopsida, Lamiales, Pedaliaceae.